This 393-nucleotide ribosomal RNA is filed under the name uncultured bacterium. Its description in RNAcentral is "partial 16S ribosomal RNA". It matches the Rfam family "Bacterial small subunit ribosomal RNA", at positions 523 to 918 of the family's 1533-position model. The record is from RNAcentral.
AUACGGAGGAUCCGAGCGUUAUCCGGAUUUACUGGGUGUAAAGGGAGCGUAGGUGGAUUGUUAAGUCAGUUGUGAAAGUUUGCGGCUCAACCGUAAAAUUGCAGUUGAAACUGGCAGUCUUGAGUACAGUAGAGGUGGGCGGAAUUCGUGGUGUAGCGGUGAAAUGCUUAGAUAUCACGAAGAACUCCGAUUGCGAAGGCAGCUCACUAGACUGUUACUGACACUGAUGCUCGAAAGUGUGGGUAUCAAACAGGAUUAGAUACCCUGGUAGUCCACACAGUAAACGAUGAAUACUCGCUGUUUGCGAUAUACAGUAAGCGGCCAAGCGAAAGCAUUAAGUAUUCCACCUGGGGAGUACGCCGGCAACGGUGAAACUUAAAGGAAUUGACGGGG